This 408-nucleotide ribosomal RNA is filed under the name uncultured bacterium. RNAcentral's name for it is "bacterial SSU rRNA". It matches the Rfam family "Bacterial small subunit ribosomal RNA", at positions 505 to 916 of the family's 1533-position model. The record is from RNAcentral.
GUGUCAGCAGCCGCGGUAAUACGUAGGGGGCGAGCGUUGUCCGGAUUUAUUGGGCGUAAAGGGUGCGUAGGCGGCCUUGUAAGUCAGAUGUGAAAUCUCACGGCUUAACCGUGGUAAGCAUUUGAAACUGUGAGGCUUGAGUACAGGAGAGGAGAGUGGAAUUCCUAGUGUAGCGGUGAAAUGCGUAGAUAUUAGGAGGAAUACCAGUGGCGAAGGCGACUCUCUGGACUGUAACUGACGCUGAGGCACGAAAGCGUGGGGAGCAAACAGGAUUAGAUACCCUGGUAGUCCACGCCGUAAACGAUGAGUGCUAGGUGUCGGGGGUCAAACCUCGGUGCCGCAGUUAACACAUUAAGCACUCCGCCUGGGGAGUACGGUGGCAACACUGAAACUUAAAUAAAUUGACGG